CGGGCCGGGGCUGCGGGCGGUAAAAGACCUAAGAACCCAGGGAAAAAACCUUCCCAACCAACCAAACCCCGCCUACGUCACCCUGGCGGGUGAAACUGGUGGGUGCGAGUGGCGCGGUGGCCGUUCGGGCGUGCAGUCUCGCCCCAGGCACCAUCACAACCCCACACAUGCAUCGGCCCCCGCCGGGACGGCAAUCCCAGUGCGAGGGCCUGACCAUCGAGGAAGUAGGCCCUUCCCC
This 238-nucleotide non-coding RNA is filed under the name Streptomyces viridochromogenes DSM 40736. Its description in RNAcentral is "Streptomyces sRNA 4677". It matches the Rfam family "Streptomyces sRNA 4677". Rfam says of the family: Located in the intergenic region between anti-sigma factor SCO4677 gene and a putative regulatory protein gene SCO4676. scr4677 expression requires the SCO4677 activity and scr4677 sRNA itself seem to affect the levels of the SCO4676-associated transcripts. The record is from Rfam by way of RNAcentral. Lineage: Bacteria; Bacillati; Actinomycetota; Actinomycetes; Kitasatosporales; Streptomycetaceae.